Molecule: ribosomal RNA, 167 nt
Filed under: uncultured bacterium
Lineage: Bacteria
Description: partial 16S ribosomal RNA
Rfam family: Bacterial small subunit ribosomal RNA
Source: RNAcentral
CAGUAGGGAAUCUUCCACAAUGGGCGCAAGCCUGAUGGAGCAACACCGCGUGAGUGAAGAAGGGUUUCGGCUCGUAAAGCUCUGUUGUUAAAGAAGAACACGUAUGAGAGUAACUGUUCAUACGUUGACGGUAUUUAACCAGAAAGUCACGGCUAACUACGUGCCAG